AUUGAACGCUGGCGGCAGGCCUAACACAUGCAAGUCGAGCGGAUGAAGGGAGCUUGCUCCUGGAUUCAGCGGCGGACGGGUGAGUAAUGCCUAGGAAUCUGCCUGGUAGUGGGGGAUAACGUCCGGAAACGGGCGCUAAUACCGCAUACGUCCUGAGGGAGAAAGUGGGGGAUCUUCGGACCUCACGCUAUCAGAUGAGCCUAGGUCGGAUUAGCUAGUUGGUGGGGUAAAGGCCUACCAAGGCGACGAUCCGUAACUGGUCCGAGAGGAUGAUCAGUCACACUGGAACUGAGACACGGUCCAGACUCCUACGGGAGGCAGCAGUGGGGAAUAUUGGACAAUGGGCGAAAGCCUGAUCCAGCCAUGCCGCGUGUGUGAAGAAGGUCUUCGGAUUGUAAAGCACUUUAAGUUGGGAGGAAGGGCAGUAAGUUAAUACCUUGCCGUUUUGACGUUACCAACAGAAUAAGCACCGGCUAACUUCGUG
Molecule: ribosomal RNA, 484 nt
Filed under: uncultured bacterium
Lineage: Bacteria
Description: partial 16S ribosomal RNA
Rfam family: Bacterial small subunit ribosomal RNA
Source: RNAcentral